RNAcentral lists this ribosomal RNA (242 nucleotides) under uncultured bacterium. RNAcentral describes it as "partial 16S ribosomal RNA". It matches the Rfam family "Bacterial small subunit ribosomal RNA", at positions 15 to 239 of the family's 1533-position model. The record is from RNAcentral.
GAUCCUGGCUCAGGACGAACGCUGGCGGCGUGCUUAACACAUGCAAGUCGAACGGAGCGCCAUGGAAUGAGGUUUCGGCCAAAGGAAAUGGUUGCUUAGUGGCGGACUGGUGAGUAACGCGUGAGGAACCUGCCUUUCAGAGGGGGACAACAGUUGGAAACGACUGCUAAUACCGCAUGACGCAUGACCGGGGCAUCCCGGACAUGCCAAAGAUUUAUCGCUGAAAGAUGGCCUCGCGUCCG